RNAcentral lists this ribosomal RNA (216 nucleotides) under Triticum aestivum (bread wheat). Its description in RNAcentral is "partial small subunit ribosomal RNA". The record is from RNAcentral. Lineage: Eukaryota; Viridiplantae; Streptophyta; Magnoliopsida; Poales; Poaceae.
AUGGCCUCAUCCGCCGCCACCUCCUCCCCUCUCUCCGGCCAGAUCACCGAGCGCCUUACCCGCACCAACUAUGUUCUUUGGCGCACUCAGAUCACGCCGCAGCUGAGAGGAGCUGGAGUCUUCGGGUACGUCGACGGAAGCACGGCGGAGCCGGCCGAGUUCGUCGUCGGCAAGGACAAGGAUGGAAAGGAGGCAACCAUCCCCAACCCACUCCAU